This 667-nucleotide ribosomal RNA is filed under the name uncultured bacterium. RNAcentral's name for it is "bacterial SSU rRNA". It matches the Rfam family "Bacterial small subunit ribosomal RNA", at positions 770 to 1443 of the family's 1533-position model. The record is from RNAcentral.
AAACAGGAUUAGAUACCCNGGUAGUUCACGCACAUAAACGAUGUUGACUAGUUGUUCGGGGAUUUCAUCCCGAGUAAAGUAGAUAACACGUGAAGUCAGCCACUUGCGGAGUACGGUUGCAAGAUUAAAAAUCAAUGGAAGUGACGCGGACCCGCACAAGCGGUGGAUGAUGUGGAUUAAUUCGAUGCAACGCGAUUAACCUUACCUUCCCUUGGCAUGUCGCUAAGAAAGUAGAGGUACAUUAGGUGAUCGUAAGAGAAAGCAACACAGGUACUGCAUAGCUGUCGUCAGCUCGUGUCGUGAGAUGUUGGGUUAAGUCCCGCAACGAGCGCAACCCUUGUCUUUAGUUAUUACGCAAGAGCACUCUAAAGAGACUUCCGGUGACAAACCGGAGGAGGGUGGGAUGACGUCAAGUCCUCAUGGCCCUUAUGGGUAGGGCUUCCCACGUCAUACAAUGGUGCAUACAGGGGGUUGCCAACCCGCGAGGGGGAGAUAAUCUCAGAAAAUGCAUCGUAGUCCGGAUCGUAGUCUGCAAGUCGACUACGUGAAUCGGGAAUCGGUAGUAAUCGCGGAUCAAAAUGUCGCGGUGAAUACGUUCCCGGGUGGGGUACACACCGCCUGUCAUCCCAUGGGAGUGGGUUCCCCAGAAGCCGUUAGCCUACCCGCA